GACGAACGCUGGCGGCGUGCCUAACACAUGCAAGUCGAGCGGAGAUGAUGUGAGGAAGUUUUCGGAUGGAACCACAUUAUUUUAGCGGCGGACGGUUGAGUAACGCGUGAGCGACCAACCUUGCACAGGGGGAUAACGGACCGAAAGGUUCACUAAUACAGCAUGAGACCACGGUGUUGCAUGACACAGGGGGCAAAGGAGGAAUCCGGUGCAAGACGGGCUCGCGUCCGAUUAGGUAGUUGGAGGGGUACCGGCCCACCAAGCCUAUGAUCGGUAGCCGACCUGAGAGGGUGAUCGGCCACAUUGGAACUGAGAUACGGUCCAAACUCCUACGGGAGGCAGCAGUGGGGAAUAUUGGGCAAUGGGGGAAACCCUGACCCAGCAACGCCGCGUGAAGGAAGAAGGUUUUCGGAUUGUAAACUUCUGUCCUUGGUGAAGAGAAGAAGACGGUAGCCAAGGAGGAAGCCCCGGCUAACUACGUGCCAGCAGCCGCCGUAA
Molecule: ribosomal RNA, 498 nt
Filed under: uncultured bacterium
Lineage: Bacteria
Description: partial 16S ribosomal RNA
Rfam family: Bacterial small subunit ribosomal RNA
Source: RNAcentral